Poecilia latipinna (sailfin molly) is the source of this 761-nucleotide long non-coding RNA. RefSeq lists it as uncharacterized. NCBI's taxonomy places the organism in Eukaryota, Metazoa, Chordata, Actinopteri, Cyprinodontiformes, Poeciliidae. The record is from RefSeq and is a predicted model, not a curated record. The transcript has 2 exons.
GAUUUUCCUUCUGUUGGAUUUUAGAUUAGUUUGUGGUGAUUGUGCUUCCUUUGGGUUCAGGAUUGAGGUUGUGCUGGUGCUCCCGUUUUGCUCUCUGGGAGUGCGUGUGAUCAGGCACGCGUCGUGGGCGUGGAGCUCUUAACCGAGAUCCUGAGGUGUUCGGGACUUGGCGGUGGACUGUUGUGUGGUUUUCCCCCUCCCUCCUCCUGCCGCUUACUGGUGCGCGCACCUGGCCUAAUUGUCCGUGGCGCAAGGGGAGCACGGCCACGCCAACGCCGUUGUUUUGUCUUUACUUUUGCUUCAUGCCUUUUCAGCUGGGUGUCAUUUACCCAAUUGAUUUAUUCUUUAUUUUGGCCAGGGUUCAACCGUUUAUGGUGAGUCCCCCUAUUUUUCAGUACGUUUAUUUACAAUUUGUAUUUUUUUCUUUUCUUUGUUUGCAUGUAGGUUUAAUUUGUCAAUUGCUUGCAUGAUUUGGUUUAUUUAGUUUGUUCAGUGCUUUGCUCGUCUUGCUUUUCGUUUAUUUGCUUUGCAUGUUUUCUUUGGUUGGGUUGCAGUGUUUUUUUUUUUUUUUUUUUUUUUUUUUGUUUUCUGCAUGGUUCUUUUUGUUAAUUGGGUUUGAAAAUAACUUGCCGCUGAAGAGCUGAUGUGCAGUAUGUAUUUUGUGAAGUUUGUAAACUGUCUUUAACAUAUAUAUUCUAUUGUUGUAGGCCUAUUUUAAACUUUUGGAAAAAAAUAAAUUAAAUUCUUUUUUUAAAACAUUA